Non-coding RNA from Acyrthosiphon pisum (pea aphid), 74 nucleotides. NCBI's taxonomy places the organism in Eukaryota, Metazoa, Arthropoda, Insecta, Hemiptera, Aphididae. The record is from Rfam.
GCCUCCGUGGCGCAAUUGGCUAGCGCGUUCGGCUGUUAACCGAAAGGUUGGUGGUUCAAGCCCACCCGGGGGCG